Molecule: unclassified non-coding RNA, 492 nt
Filed under: Alexandrium tamarense
Lineage: Eukaryota; Dinophyceae; Gonyaulacales; Pyrocystaceae
Description: partial 5' external transcribed spacer
Source: RNAcentral
CUUGUGCUUCACCGAUUGAUUUCCAGUUUCUGAACAGCAAACAUUCAGUUUGAAACAUUGAAUAUUCAAUGGAAUUGAAAAACGCAUUUGUUCCAGUAAAAAAAACAACAUAUUCCGCACGCGUUUUCCAAACCGCCUUCAACCCACCAACUUUUUUUUGCAGUUAUACCUAGGGGGCGGGCGCCCAGGAAGUGGGACAGAGCCAUUCAUGCACUGUUGGGUUGAAGCCCAAUGGUGGCUGAGUGGAUGUCCGUUGGUGCACUGCACAUGUAUGCGUCUUGUUGGGUUACUGAGUAAUGUGCAUGACAUUGUUUGCAUGCAAAUGUAUUGGCUGAGCUAUAUUACUUAAGCAUCAGCUGGGUGGUAGUUUGUGGAAAUGUGUCACAGGUUGAACAGUUGGAAUCUUUGAAUGUCUGAUGAAGCAAAGCAAUGAAUACUUAAGGGGUAUGAUGCAUAAAGCAUUACGUCUGUGUACAUGCUUGCAGUUGUGAA